GAUGAAGAACGUAGCGAAAUGCGAUAAGUAAUGUGAAUUGCAGAAUUCAGUGAAUCAUCGAAUCUUUGAACGCACAUUGCGCCCGCCAGUAUUCUGGCGGGCAUGCCUGUUCGAGCGUCAUUUCAACCAUCAAGCCCCCGGCUUGUGUUGGGGACCUGCGGCUGCCGCAGGCCCUGAAAAGCAGUGGCGGGCUCGCUGUCACACCGAGCGUAGUAGCAUACGUCUCGCUCUGGGCGUGCUGCGGGUUCCGGCCGUUAAACCACCUUCAUAACCCAAGGUUGACCUCGGAUCAGGUAGGAAGACCCGCUGAACUUAAGCAUAUCAAUAAGCGGAGGA
RNAcentral lists this unclassified non-coding RNA (336 nucleotides) under soil metagenome. Its description in RNAcentral is "partial contains 5.8S ribosomal RNA, internal transcribed spacer 2, and large subunit ribosomal RNA". The stretch from base 1 to 120 matches the Rfam family "5.8S ribosomal RNA", at positions 35 to 154 of the family's 154-position model. The record is from RNAcentral.